CCGACCCUAUAAAGUAUAUAUAUUCUGGAUCCUUAUAGAUAGCGGAGUCGAUUAAGCCAUGUCCGUCUGUCUGUCUGUCUGUCUGUCUGUCUGUCUGUCUGUCUGUCUGUCUGUUGAAAUCAAUUUUCUGAAGACCCCAGAUAUCUUCGGGAUCCAAAUCUUCAAUAAUUCUGUCAGACAUGCUUUCGAGAAUUUUGCUAUUUAAAAUCAGCAAAAUCCGUCCAUAAAUAACGGAGAUAUGAGCAAAAAUCCGUGACAACCUCUGAAAAUUUCAUCAAAAAAAGACAA
Molecule: long non-coding RNA, 288 nt
Organism: Calliphora vicina (urban bluebottle blowfly)
Lineage: Eukaryota; Metazoa; Arthropoda; Insecta; Diptera; Calliphoridae
Exons: 2
Source: RefSeq, a predicted model, not a curated record